Molecule: long non-coding RNA, 224 nt
Organism: Sesamum indicum (sesame)
Lineage: Eukaryota; Viridiplantae; Streptophyta; Magnoliopsida; Lamiales; Pedaliaceae
Source: RefSeq, a predicted model, not a curated record
GCCGCCAUCAACCGUCGUCACUAGUAGAGAAGACAGAGCUCGGUCGGCAACCCAAGCAGAUGGAGUUAUUUGAAAGGUGCUACGAGAGAAAGGAGGACUGCGGCUGAGGUGGUGGAGACAUUCCAAAACCGCCUCCGACAAACCCUCGAGCCUCGAAUCAGGACGAUAUGGACGUUGUUGACAAGGAGGGGUUAGAUUAAGUUUUAAAUUUUUUGUUUUAUUUU